This 727-nucleotide long non-coding RNA is filed under the name Heterocephalus glaber (naked mole-rat). Its description in RNAcentral is "lncRNA (ENSHGLG00100039880.1)". Lineage: Eukaryota; Metazoa; Chordata; Mammalia; Rodentia; Bathyergidae. The record is from RNAcentral.
GGACACUUGGAGGGGAGAAAACUCAAGGGAGGGACUGAUUUCCCAGAGGACAAUCCAUUUUCCAGUGACCCUACUGUCCACAGUUGGGACAUGGCCUUGUAGGAAGCCCGAGAAAAGGGCAAGCUUUUGUUUAGUGGCCCAGAUUGCUGUAGUGAACCGUCCCUAGCAAGGAGAAGGAAACAAGAGGAUAAGAUCAGUAUUUGAGAAAGAAAGAUGAAGGCAAACAGGCCCCUCAACACCUGCUACCUCAUGGAGGGGCUGAUAAAUUAUCAAGAUCUCAGAGAAUUUGGAUAUUGAAAGUACCCUCAGCUGGCCAGCAUAACCCAUUAUGGGCCGGUGGGGGGUGUCAGCCUUGGAAGAAGGCAGAUUCCUGAGUAACCAGGAUGUCACAGGACUCUGUCAGCAAGAAUCUUGUUUACCUUGUAGCAGAGCAGUGGUCAGUAGUUAGGGGAAAUGUGUGUGUGGGGAGAGGAACCUGAGUGGGGAGCUGCUAGGAGAGACUACUUUCACCUAGGAGAAUUGAGUUUCUUUUAAGUUCUGCUUCAUUCAUUCAUUCAUUCAUUCAUGUAUUCAUGUACAGGGCAUUAAACUCAGGAACUUGCACUUGCAAGGCAGGCGUGGCACCAAUGAGAUGGCGGGUGGUGUUCCUGUCCAGGUUCUAUUACUUAUCUCCAAAUAACAGCCAACAUCCUGAUUUCUGAGAAGACAUAAAUCAGUCCAGAGCAAC